GGCCUCGUGGCCCAAUGGCAAGGCGUCUGACUACGAGAGAUUUCAUAACAACACUUGAUUUCUUAGAGCGAUCAGGAGAUUCUGGGUUCGACCCCCAGCGAGGUCA
Xylaria longipes is the source of this 106-nucleotide non-coding RNA. The record is from the annotation of a GenBank genome assembly. Lineage: Eukaryota; Fungi; Ascomycota; Sordariomycetes; Xylariales; Xylariaceae.